CGCAGACCCCAGGCCCACCUGGCGUCCGGCCUUGCCUGCAAUUGACUCCAGACAUUUUUGCCAAGGUUUAUUAUAAGAAAAAUUCCACUGCCUAGAGGCUGCCUUACAGGAGGCUGGGGACGGGGCUGGGGAGACUCUGGAGCUUGCCUUGUCUCCCUGCUGUUUGGUGUGCUCUCCACAAAGCAUGGUCUGCAGGACUCGUGGGGGGGCAGGGGUGUGGCCCUGCAGCCUCAGUGUCAAGGUCACAGCCUGGUAGGGUCGGUGAGCGGGUGACCAUGCUGGCACCCUCCGCCUGCCUUCCUUCCUUGCCUGGUGGCUAAGGCGAGCAGUAGGGUGGCCCUGUUCAGGAAAUUUGUGCUUCGGGUCGGGUGGGGUGGGGGGCCAGGCAUGGGGGGCUGCUGGCAUGCGAAGGAGUGGCUGUCGUCGCUUGCAUGCGCGCGUGUGUGUGCUAGUCGCUUCUUGCUGCUGCCGCCACUGCCUGCUUCUCGGGUUCUCACAUGCAUAACGUGACAUAUAUAUAUAUAUAUAAGUGUAUAAAUAUAUAUUUUAUUUUUUUUUAAUUCCCUGGAGCUCUCGGUUCCCGUGGCUCCUACUGUCGGUCAUAGAGAAAAGCCGUGUCCCUCCCAUCCUCCGUCACCCCCACAUCCAUCAUGUUCUUAUUUUUAAAAACUCAAAGAUCAAAAACA
This is a long non-coding RNA of Ochotona curzoniae (black-lipped pika), 686 nucleotides long. RefSeq lists it as uncharacterized. NCBI's taxonomy places the organism in Eukaryota, Metazoa, Chordata, Mammalia, Lagomorpha, Ochotonidae. The transcript is spliced from 4 exons. The record is from RefSeq and is a predicted model, not a curated record.